AACGAACGCUGGCGGCAUGCCUAACACAUGCAAGUCGAACGAGACCUUCGGGUCUAGUGGCGCACGGGUGCGUAACGCGUGGGAACCUGCCCUUAGGUUCGGAAUAACUCCCCGAAAGGGGGGCUAAUCCCGGUUAAUUUCUUCGGACCAAAGAUUUAUCGCCUUUGGAUGGGCCCGCGUUGGAUUAGCUAGUUGGUAGGGUAAAAGCCUACCAAGGCGACGAUCCAUAGCUGGUCUGAGAGGAUGAUCAGCCACACUGGGACUGAGACACGGCCCAGACUCCUACGGGAGGCAGCAGUGGGGAAUAUUGGACAAUGGGCGAAAGCCUGAUCCAGCAAUGCCGCGUGAGUGAUGAAGGCCUUAGGGUUGUAAAGCUCUUUUACCCGGGAUGAUAAUGACAGUACCGGGAGAAUAAGCGCCGGCUAACUCCGUG
This 433-nucleotide ribosomal RNA is filed under the name uncultured bacterium. Its description in RNAcentral is "partial 16S ribosomal RNA". It matches the Rfam family "Bacterial small subunit ribosomal RNA", at positions 29 to 507 of the family's 1533-position model. The record is from RNAcentral.